UACGUAGGUGGCAAGCGUUGUCCGGAUUUACUGGGCGUAAAGAGCGCGCAGGCGGUCGAUUUAGUCGCGUGUGAAAGCCCCCGGCUCAACUGGGGAGGGUCACGCGAUACUGCUCGACUUGAAGGCAGGAGAGGGAAGUGGAAUUCCCGGUGUAGUGGUGAAAUGCGUAGAUAUCGGGAGGAACACCAGUGGCGAAGGCGACUUCCUGGCCUGUUCUUGACGCUGAGGCGCGAAAGCUAGGGUAGCAAACGGG
RNAcentral lists this ribosomal RNA (253 nucleotides) under uncultured bacterium. RNAcentral describes it as "partial 16S ribosomal RNA". It matches the Rfam family "Bacterial small subunit ribosomal RNA", at positions 524 to 776 of the family's 1533-position model. The record is from RNAcentral.